This 470-nucleotide ribosomal RNA is filed under the name uncultured bacterium. RNAcentral describes it as "partial 16S ribosomal RNA". It matches the Rfam family "Bacterial small subunit ribosomal RNA", at positions 28 to 507 of the family's 1533-position model. The record is from RNAcentral.
GGUGAACGCUGGCGGCGUGCCUAAGACAUGCAAGUCGAGCGGGGCAGGUUUAUACCUGUUCAGCGGCGGACGGGUGAGUAACGCGUGGGUGACCUACCCGGAAGAGGCGGACAACCUGGGGAAACCCAGGCUAAUCCGCCAUGUGGUCCUGUCCUGUGGGGCAGGACUAAAGGGUGGAUAGCCCGCUUCCGGAUGGGCCCGCGUCCCAUCAGCUAGUUGGUGGGGUAAAGGCCCACCAAGGCGACGACGGGUAGCCGGUCUGAGAGGAUGGCCGGCCACAGGGGCACGGAGACACGGGCCCCACUCCUACGGGAGGCAGCAGUUAGGAAUCUUCCGCAAUGGGCGCAAGCCUGACGGAGCGACGCCGCUUGGAGGAGGAAGCCCUUCGGGGUGUAAACUCCUGAACUGGGGACGAAAGCCCCGUGUAGGGGGAUGACGGUACCCAGGUAAUAGCGCCGGCCAACUCCGUG